RNAcentral lists this ribosomal RNA (398 nucleotides) under uncultured bacterium. Its description in RNAcentral is "partial 16S ribosomal RNA". It matches the Rfam family "Bacterial small subunit ribosomal RNA", at positions 523 to 918 of the family's 1533-position model. The record is from RNAcentral.
AUACGUAGGGUGCGAGCGUUGUCCGGAAUUACUGGGCGUAAAGAGCUCGUAGGUGGUUUGUCGCGUCGUCUGUGAAAUUCCGGGGCUUAACUCCGGGCGUGCAGGCGAUACGGGCAUAACUUGAGUACUAUAGGGGAGACUGGAAUUCCUGGUGUAGCGGUGAAAUGCGCAGAUAUCAGGAGGAACACCGGUGGCGAAGGCGGGUCUCUGGGCAGUAACUGACGCUGAGGAGCGAAAGCAUGGGUAGCGAACAGGAUUAGAUACCCUGGUAGUCCAUGCCGUAAACGGUGGGCGCUAGGUGUAGGGGUCUUCCACGACUUCUGUGCCGUAGCUAACGCAUUAAGCGCCCCGCCUGGGGAGUACGGCCGCAAGGCUAAAACUCAAAUGAAUUGACGGGG